Ailuropoda melanoleuca (giant panda) is the source of this 383-nucleotide long non-coding RNA. RefSeq lists it as uncharacterized. The record is from RefSeq and is a predicted model, not a curated record. The transcript is spliced from 3 exons. NCBI's taxonomy places the organism in Eukaryota, Metazoa, Chordata, Mammalia, Carnivora, Ursidae.
UGCAGUUAUGUACAGAAGCCUGGGAUAUAGAACAGCAAACUGUGGAGUGGUUUGAAGCAGAGAACAUGGAGCCCCUUGCAACAUCUUCCUUCUCCAGUGUGUUCCAAGGAGCAUCUCCACAGCAUUCUUGGCAUUCAGCUUGAAAAUGAUCUCUCAUUAAGCAAAUCAUCUUUGCUUAGCUGCUCUGUGCCAGAUACUUUGCUUUGGGCUGAGGACUUGGAGAUAAGUGGGACUACAUUUCCAAGAAAUACCCUAACACUCCUCGAAGCUUGUCCCGCUAUAUUUCUUAGCUUCCCGUUUCCACCAACUUCUCCUCUAUGUUCCGCUUCUUUUAGCUAGCCUUGGACUCUAGUGAGGAAAGCUAAUGACCUAAUAAAUAAAUA